Molecule: long non-coding RNA, 598 nt
Organism: Talpa occidentalis (Iberian mole)
Lineage: Eukaryota; Metazoa; Chordata; Mammalia; Eulipotyphla; Talpidae
Exons: 3
Source: RefSeq, a predicted model, not a curated record
CCAAGCAAUCACAAAGCGAGGCUGGGAGGAAUUUGGCUAGAGACCCAGGGCCUGCUGGGAGCAAUGCAGGGCUGGAUUUGAGAACAGUAAGCUACAGCAGCGCGGCACAAGGACCAGAGGGUAAACAUCACUGUCCUUAGAGUCAACUCCAUGAAGUCAUGCAUGUUUGCAGCCUGAUGACACAGCACAGAGCCUGAUCUUAGGAAGCAGGAUCUCCCUAAGUACCUGAUGCCUGACAGAGUCCUGUGAGUCUGUGACUGUCACUACGAACGAUGGCACCCUCACGUCACACCCUGCUUAAAGACCUGAGGUUCCCCAGCAUCUGCACAGGAAACUGAGGCCCGGAAACGAUGAAAGAGGGCUGAGUGAGUGGAGGGUAGAUAGGAAAGGGAUGUGACAAGGGCUGGGUGUGCCUCGCCACAAAUCACACUGAUUUCUCAGUCAGCCCUGUCAGAGAAAGGGAAAUCGUCAGAAGUGGCUGGAUUCACCCUAUUGCCUCCCUACAUUCUGGAAAAUAGUAUCCCCCUUUGCUUUCCACAGCCUCGACUUUCUUCAUCGCCCCUGGCGACAGGCCCACUCCUUCAGAAUAAAGGGAAGA